RNAcentral lists this ribosomal RNA (132 nucleotides) under Escherichia coli. RNAcentral describes it as "23S gene of rrnG operon". It matches the Rfam family "Bacterial large subunit ribosomal RNA", at positions 2798 to 2925 of the family's 2925-position model. The record is from RNAcentral. Lineage: Bacteria; Pseudomonadati; Pseudomonadota; Gammaproteobacteria; Enterobacterales; Enterobacteriaceae.
CCCGAGAUGAGUUCUCCCUGACCCUUUAAGGGUCCUGAAGGAACGUUGAAGACGACGACGUUGAUAGGCCGGGUGUGUAAGCGCAGCGAUGCGUUGAGCUAACCGGUACUAAUGAACCGUGAGGCUUAACCU